This 319-nucleotide unclassified non-coding RNA is filed under the name Hevea brasiliensis (rubber tree). The record is from RNAcentral. Lineage: Eukaryota; Viridiplantae; Streptophyta; Magnoliopsida; Malpighiales; Euphorbiaceae.
GAAGCACUUAAUCUUUCAAGUUCUGAAAAUGGAACACUACUGUGCUGGGUGUUAGUGGACCCUUCGCAGAGACAUGGCUUUUGCAGUCGUGCAGAUUUUAGUGCAGAUCCUGCUUUCAGUUGGAUGACCAGACUAUCUACUGAAGUAAAGAUGGCUAUUAGAAAAUCAAAGAUCCUCUUUUGCAAUGGUUAUGACUUUGAUGAACUCUCCCCUAGCCUUCUUGAAUCUGCUCUUGAGUGUGCUGUGGAAUCUGGGACAUCUAUCUUUUUUGACCCUGGACCACGAGGUAGGAGUCUUAUCGCAGGAAGACCUGAAGAAC